UGGGUUGUCAGGGUUAGAGUCUAGGUUGCGGAUAGAGGCCGCCAGCUCACUGAGUAAUACUAGGUUACUCAUCCAACUCUGUUGUCCUUUUUGCAGGUCGCUUUAGGUAAGGAUGAUCGGAUAGCUUGGUGUUGGACGUUAGGACCGCCGGAGUAGAUUUCAUGCCUUUUGUAAACGGUAUUGCGUUAUGGGUUUUGUUGGCUCGAUUUGAUAUUAGGCCGGACCCAGUCUUGAAUUAUUUCAAUGUAUGGAUAUUUCUUGAAUCAAUAAAGUAAAUGUUUUAUAUGCGCUUCAUGAGUACUCUGAUAUUUGACUAGUCCGGUCUAACACAACGUUAGGUCAGGGUACGGGUUGAAAAGCCUUAGGCCUCGAUCUAACGGAAAACGCUAACUCUAGGUACGGGUUGCAAAACCUUGUGCCUUGACGCAGCGGGACGAGUUAGUGGAGGAACUGGUCGAGGUCGUGGAGUAAAUUUUGUGACUCUGACCGGAUCCUACCUAACCCGUCACGUAGCGCUUCCGGACAAUGGUGUUGGGUUGGACGGUCAGUCAUGUUCUUGUUUGAU
Molecule: long non-coding RNA, 565 nt
Filed under: Brassica napus (rape)
Lineage: Eukaryota; Viridiplantae; Streptophyta; Magnoliopsida; Brassicales; Brassicaceae
Description: long non-coding RNA (BNAP_LNC013841)
Source: RNAcentral